AUUGAACGCUGGCGGCAGGCUUAACACAUGCAAGUCGAACGAGUGGCGGACGGGUGAGUAAUGUCUGGGAAACUGCAUGAUGGAGGGGGAUAACUACUGGAAACGGUAGCUAAUACCGCAUACCAUCAGAUGUGCCCAGAUGGGAUGAGCUCGUUGGUGGGGUAACGGCUCACCAAGGCGAGGAUCCCUAGCUGGUCUGAGAGGAUGACCAGCCACACUGGAACUGAGACACGGUCGAGACUCCUACGGGAGGCAGCAGUGGGGAAUAUUGCACAAUGGGCGCAAGCCUGAUGCAGCAAUGCCGCGUGUAUGAAGAAGGCGUUAGGGUUGUAAAGUACUUUCGGCGGGAAGGCGUUACCCGCAGAAGAAGCACCGGCUAACUCCGUGCCAGCAGCCGCGGUAAUAC
This 406-nucleotide ribosomal RNA is filed under the name uncultured bacterium. Its description in RNAcentral is "partial 16S ribosomal RNA". It matches the Rfam family "Bacterial small subunit ribosomal RNA", at positions 30 to 526 of the family's 1533-position model. The record is from RNAcentral.